Molecule: ribosomal RNA, 274 nt
Filed under: uncultured bacterium
Lineage: Bacteria
Description: partial 16S ribosomal RNA
Rfam family: Bacterial small subunit ribosomal RNA
Source: RNAcentral
AUACGAAGGGGGCAAGCGUUGUACGGAAUAACUGGGCGUAAAGCGCACGUAGGCGGAAUGUUAAGUUAGAGGUGAAAUCCCAGGGCUCAACCCUGGAACGGCCUUUAAUACUGGCAAUCUAGAGACCGAGAGAGGUGAGUGGAAUUCCGAGUGUAGAGGUGAAAUUCGUAGAUAUUCGGAGGAACACCAGUGGCGAAGGCGGCUCACUGGCUCGGUACUGACGCUGAGGUGCGAAAGCGUGGGGAGCAAACAGGAUUAGAAACCCUAGUAGUCC